RNAcentral lists this ribosomal RNA (381 nucleotides) under Lucinoma borealis. RNAcentral describes it as "SSU rRNA". It matches the Rfam family "Eukaryotic small subunit ribosomal RNA", at positions 40 to 424 of the family's 1831-position model. Lineage: Eukaryota; Metazoa; Mollusca; Bivalvia; Lucinida; Lucinidae. The record is from RNAcentral.
CAAGAUUAAGCCAUGCAUGUCUAAGUAUAAGCAAUUUUACGGUGAAACUGCGAAUGGCUCAUUAAAUCAGUUAUAGUUUAUUUGAUGGUACUUUACUACAUGGAUAACUGUGGUAAUUCUAGAGCUAAUACAUGCGUAAAAGCCCCAACUUUUUGGAAGGGGUGUAUUUAUUAGGUAAAAACCAACCGCUUCGGCGUCCUUUGGUGAAUCAUAAUAACUUUUCUAAUCGCAUGGCCUUGUGCCGGCGAUGCUUCAUUCAAAUAUCUGCCCUAUCAACUUUGAUGGUAGGAUAGAGGCCUACCAUGGUUGCAACGGGUAACGGGGAAUAAGGGUUCGAUUCCGGAGAGGGAGCCUGAGAAACGGCUACCACAUCCAAGGAAG